RNAcentral lists this ribosomal RNA (1344 nucleotides) under Triticum aestivum (bread wheat). RNAcentral's name for it is "partial small subunit ribosomal RNA". Lineage: Eukaryota; Viridiplantae; Streptophyta; Magnoliopsida; Poales; Poaceae. The record is from RNAcentral.
AUGUCUCAUUAUCAGGAGCACAAUGUUGAGGACAUGGAGGAUGAUUACGACAUGGAUGAUCCGGUAGAUGACAUGGAUGGUGAAGAUUACCUAGGGCCGGAGGCUAGGGACGACUCUGAUGAGGAGGAUGAUGAGGAUGCCGAAGCGAAUAAGGCAUCCGACACAUCAUCUGAAGAAGCAAGACGUGGAAAAGACAUUCAAGGAAUACCAUGGGAUCGCUUGGAACUUACCAGAGAAGGAUACAGGGAGACAAGAUUAUUACAGUACAAAAACUACGAGAACAUACCUAAUUCUGCAGAAACAGCAAUGAAGGCAUGCAAAUCUACUGAGAAAGACGGAACAUAUUAUGAGUUCAGGCGAAAUACUAGAUCAGUAAAAUCUACUAUUCUACACUUUCAGCUGAGAAAUUUAGUAUGGGCUACAUCUAAGCAUGAUGCCUACCUAAUAUCACAUUACUCGGUGCUACACUGGUCAGCAUUGAGUGGUGUGGACACAGAAAUUAUGAAUGUCGAAGGGCAUAUUGCACCAAGUGAGAAACAUCCAGGAAGUUUAUUAGAAGGGUUUUCUCAGACUCAAGUUAGUACGCUGGCAGUCAAGGAUAAUUUGCUAGUAGCUGGUGGUUUCCAGGGAGAGCUAAUAUGCAAGAACCUGGACCAAGAAGGAAUAAGCUUUUGCUGCAGGACAACAUAUGAUGAUAAUGCAAUCACCAAUGCAGUGGAGAUAUUCAACACCUCUAGUGGUGCUGUUCACUUCAUUGCAUCUAUUAACGACUCCGGUGUACGAGAAUAUGAUAUGGAAAGAUACCAGUUAUGUAAGCAUUUCCGCUUUGGUUGGCCAGUGAAUCACACGUCUUUGAGCCCUGAUGGGAAGCUUGUUCUCGUUGUCGGGGAUGAUCCAGAUGCUUUGCUUAUUGAUGCUAAUUCAGGAAAGACUGUUCAUUCUAUGAAAGGUCACUUGGAUUUCUCAUUUGCAUCGGCUUGGAGCCCUGAUGGUCGGACAUUUGCCACUGGCAAUCAAGACAGGACAUGCCGGGUCUGGGAUGCCAGAAAUCUCUCGCAGUCUCUCCAUGUCUUGAGGGGUAACCUUGGUGCUAUAAGAUCUAUUCGCUACACAUCAGAUGGUCAGUUCCUGUCGAUGGCGGAGCCAGCAGACUUUGUCCACAUCUUUGAUGUCAAAAGUGAUUAUAACAAGAGGCAAGAGCUGGAUUUCUUUGGUGAGAUAUCUGGCAUGUCUUUCAGCCCUGACACGGACACACUCUUCGUCGGUGUUUGGGACAGGACCUAUGGCAGCCUACUUCAGUAUGGCCGCCUCUAUAACUACUCAUACCUUGACUCGCUGUUCUAA